This 253-nucleotide ribosomal RNA is filed under the name uncultured prokaryote. Its description in RNAcentral is "partial 16S ribosomal RNA". It matches the Rfam family "Bacterial small subunit ribosomal RNA", at positions 524 to 776 of the family's 1533-position model. The record is from RNAcentral.
UACGUAGGUGGCAAGCGUUGUUCGGAAUUAUUGGGCGUAAAGGGCGCGUAGGCGGUUUGUUAAGUCGGCUGUGAAAGCCCGGGGCUCAACCCCGGAGGGUCGGCCGAUACUGGCAAGCUAGAGUACAGAAGAGGUAGCUGGAAUUCCCGGUGUAGCGGUGAAAUGCGUAGAUAUCGAGAGGAACACCUGCGGCGAAGGCGGGUUGCUGGGCUGAUACUGACGCUGAACUGCGAAAGCUAGGGGAGCGAACGGG